This 345-nucleotide small nucleolar RNA is filed under the name Huiozyma naganishii CBS 8797. Lineage: Eukaryota; Fungi; Ascomycota; Saccharomycetes; Saccharomycetales; Saccharomycetaceae. The record is from RNAcentral.
AACGCAAACUCACAGCCGGGCUGCAGCCAUAAUUAACAGCGUCCUCGAUGAGGUUGGACACCCCCCGGGGAGUCCUCGACCCAUGACCACGAGGGCCAUUUUGGCUGCACCGCGUAUGUGGCAUAUGGGACCCAACGUUCCCUUCGGGGAGUGUUGCUGGUUCCCAUCUGCUGCUGCGCGGUCUUCCCGUCCCGGACUGGAGAUUGAGUGUUGGUGCUGUGAAAGGCGCUGGCCCGUUACUGAUCUUGGGUGCAAUGGUCCCUCCAGCUGGUAUUUCCGGCGAAAGGGUUCUUAAGCCUUCGUGCUUCCCGCAUGGGGACGAUUGCAAGGAUCGCUAACACAUUU